RNAcentral lists this transfer RNA (66 nucleotides) under Poecile montanus (willow tit). Its description in RNAcentral is "tRNA-Ser". RNAcentral also lists the same sequence under 1 other name. Lineage: Eukaryota; Metazoa; Chordata; Aves; Passeriformes; Paridae. The record is from RNAcentral.
GAGGGGAUGUGUAACCAGCAAGAACUGCUAACUCUUGCAUCUGAGUCUAAACCCUCAGUCCCCUUA